UCAUUCAUAUUGAGUUAUAAGGCGCC
Molecule: small RNA, 26 nt
Filed under: Bombyx mori (domestic silkworm)
Lineage: Eukaryota; Metazoa; Arthropoda; Insecta; Lepidoptera; Bombycidae
Description: ovarian small RNA-26329
Source: RNAcentral